Molecule: ribosomal RNA, 337 nt
Filed under: Escherichia coli
Lineage: Bacteria; Pseudomonadati; Pseudomonadota; Gammaproteobacteria; Enterobacterales; Enterobacteriaceae
Description: bacterial SSU rRNA
Rfam family: Bacterial small subunit ribosomal RNA
Source: RNAcentral
AAAUUGAAGAGUUUGAUCAUGGCUCAGAUUGAACGCUGGCGGCAGGCCUAACACAUGCAAGUCGAACGGUAACAGAAAGCAGCUUGCUGCUUUGCUGACGAGUGGCGGACGGGUGAGUAAUGUCUGGGAAACUGCCUGAUGGAGGGGGAUAACUACUGGAAACGGUAGCUAAUACCGCAUAACGUCGCAAGACCAAAGAGGGGGACCUUAGGGCCUCUUGCCAUCGGAUGUGCCCAGAUGGGAUUAGCUAGUAGGUGGGGUAACGGCUCACCUAGGCGACGAUCCCUAGCUGGUCUGAGAGGAUGACCAGCCACACUGGAACUGAGACACGGUCCAG